This 261-nucleotide unclassified non-coding RNA is filed under the name Hevea brasiliensis (rubber tree). The record is from RNAcentral. Lineage: Eukaryota; Viridiplantae; Streptophyta; Magnoliopsida; Malpighiales; Euphorbiaceae.
GGAGCUGUCAAGAAUGCUCAUAAGAGAGGAGAUUGAUGAAAAUUCAACUGUCUACAUAGAUGCGGGGCCGAAGGGAGGUGACUUGGCAUAUCGAGUGGAGAAGAAUGGUGGACUUGUUAAUGCAACCACAGGACAGAAGGCUGAAGUAUUAAUUCAGAUACCCAGUGUCCCCAGGACUGAUGCAGAACAGGCUGUGAAGAGGAUGAAGAUUGCAGAAAUCGUUGAUGACGAUAAAGAGAUGAUCGAGUAAAUUGCCUGGGG